Molecule: ribosomal RNA, 429 nt
Filed under: Bacteroidota bacterium
Lineage: Bacteria; Pseudomonadati; Bacteroidota
Description: Bacteroidetes bacterium partial 16S ribosomal RNA
Rfam family: Bacterial small subunit ribosomal RNA
Source: RNAcentral
UAGGGAAUCUUCCGCAAUGGACGCAAGUCUGACGGAGCAACGCCGCGUGAGUGAAGAAGGAUUUCGGUUCGUAAAACUCUGUUGUUAGAGAAGAACAGCGCAUAGAGUAACUGUUAUGCGUGUGACGGUAUCUAACCAGAAAGCCACGGCUAACUACGUGCCAGCAGCCGCGGUAAUACGUAGGUGGCAAGCGUUGUCCGGAUUUAUUGGGCGUAAAGCGAGCGCAGGCGGUCAAUUAAGUCUGAUGUGAAAGCCCCCGGCUCAACCGGGGAGGGUCAUUGGAAACUGGUUGACUUGAGUGCAGAAGAGGAGAGUGGAAUUUCAUGUGUAGCGGUGAAAUGCGUAGAUAUAUGGAGGAACACCGGUGGCGAAAGCGGCUCUCUGGUCUGUAACUGACGCGGAGGCUCGAAAGCGUGGGGAGCGAACAGG